This 326-nucleotide ribosomal RNA is filed under the name uncultured eukaryote. RNAcentral describes it as "partial 18S ribosomal RNA". It matches the Rfam family "Eukaryotic small subunit ribosomal RNA", at positions 1470 to 1796 of the family's 1831-position model. The record is from RNAcentral.
CCCUUAGAUGUCCGGGGCCGCACGCGCGCUACACUGAAGGAAUCAGCGUGGCUUUCUCCCUGACCCGAAAGGGUUGGGAAACCCGUUGAAUCUCCUUCGUGAUAGGGAUUGGGGCUUGAAAUUGUUCCCCAUGAACGAGGAAUUCCCAGUAAGCGCGAGUCAUAAGCUCGCGUUGAUUACGUCCCUGCCCUUUGUACACACCGCCCGUCGCUUCUACCGAUGAAUGAUCCGGUGAACACUCUGGACUUGUUGUCUGUCGGAGCAAUCCAAAGACGAUAGGGAAGUUGUGUAAACCUUAUCAUUUAGAGGAAGAAGAAGUCGUAACA